CUACGGGCCGCACCAGUAAGGAAUAUUGCGCAAUGGAGGCAACUCUGACGCAGCCAUGCCGCGUGCAGGAAGAAGGCCUUAUGGGUCGUAAACUGCUUUUAUUUAGGAAUAAACCCCCGAACGUGUUCGGGGCUGAAGGUACUAAACGAAUAAGCACCGGCUAACUCCGUGCCAGCAGCCGCGGGUAAUACGGAGGGUGCAAGCGUUAUCCGGAUUUAUUGGGUUUAAAGGGUGCGCAGGCGGGCGAUUAAGUCAGUGGUGAAAUCCCGGGGCUCAACUCCGGAACUGCCAUUGAUACUGAUAGUCUUGAGUUUGGUUGAAGUGGGCGGAAUGUAGCAUGUAGCGGUGAAAUGCAUAGAUAUGCUACAGAACACCAAUCGCGAAGGCAGCUCACUAAGCCAAAACUGACGCUCAUGCACGAAAGCGUGGGGAUCAAACAGGAUUAGAUACCCGGGUAGUC
This 460-nucleotide ribosomal RNA is filed under the name uncultured bacterium. Its description in RNAcentral is "partial 16S ribosomal RNA". It matches the Rfam family "Bacterial small subunit ribosomal RNA", at positions 339 to 795 of the family's 1533-position model. The record is from RNAcentral.